This 2278-nucleotide ribosomal RNA is filed under the name Bifidobacterium longum subsp. suis DSM 20211. RNAcentral describes it as "bacterial LSU rRNA". It matches the Rfam family "Bacterial large subunit ribosomal RNA", at positions 603 to 2856 of the family's 2925-position model. Lineage: Bacteria; Bacillati; Actinomycetota; Actinomycetes; Bifidobacteriales; Bifidobacteriaceae. The record is from RNAcentral.
ACCUUUUGUAUAAUGGGUCAGCGACUUAUAUUUUGUAGCAAGGUUAACCGUAUAGGGGAGCCGUAGGGAAACCGAGUCUUAACUGGGCGAUUAGUUGCAAGGUAUAGACCCGAAACCCGGUGAUCUAGCCAUGGGCAGGUUGAAGGUUGGGUAACACUAACUGGAGGACCGAACCGACUAAUGUUGAAAAAUUAGCGGAUGACUUGUGGCUGGGGGUGAAAGGCCAAUCAAACCGGGAGAUAGCUGGUUCUCCCCGAAAGCUAUUUAGGUAGCGCCUCGUGAACUCAUCUUCGGGGGUAGAGCACUGUUUCGGCUAGGGGGCCAUCCCGGCUUACCAAACCGAUGCAAACUCCGAAUACCGAAGAAUGUUAUCACGGGAGACACACGGCGGGUGCUAACGUCCGUCGUGAAGAGGGAAACAACCCAGACCGCCAGCUAAGGUCCCAAAGUCAUGGUUAAGUGGGAAACGAUGUGGGAAGGCAUAGACAGCCAGGAUGUUGGCUUAGAAGCAGCCAUCAUUUAAAGAAAGCGUAAUAGCUCACUGGUCGAGUCGGCCUGCGCGGAAGAUGUAACGGGGCUAAACCAUGCACCGAAGCUGCGGCAGCGACGCUUAGGCGUUGUUGGGUAGGGGAGCGUUCUGUAAGCCGUUGAAGGUGGCCUGUGAGGGUUGCUGGAGGUAUCAGAAGUGCGAAUGCUGACAUAAGUAACGAUAAAGCGGGUGAAAAGCCCGCUCGCCGGAAGACCAAGGGUUCCUGUCCAACGUUAAUCGGGGCAGGGUGAGUCGACCCCUAAGGCGAGGCUGAAAAGCGUAGUCGAUGGGAAACAGGUUAAUAUUCCUGUACUUGGUGUUACUGCGAAGGGGGGACGGAGAAGGCUAGGCUAGCCGGGCGACGGUUGUCCCGGUUUAAGCGUGUAGGGGGUGUGACCUGGUAAAUCCGGUUGCAUGUUAACCCUGAGGCGUGAUGACGAUGCACUACGGUGCAGAAGUAGUUGAUGCCCUGCUUCCAGGAAAAUCCUCUAAGCUCCAGGUAACAUUAAAUCGUACCCCAAACCGACACAGGUGGUCAGGUAGAGAAUACCAAGGCGCUUGAGAGAACUCGGGUGAAGGAACUAGGCAAAAUGGUGCCGUAACUUCGGGAGAAGGCACGCUGGCAUGUAGGUGAAGUCCCUCGCGGAUGGAGCUGAAGCCAGUCGAAGAUACCAGCUGGCUGCAACUGUUUAAUAAAAACACAGCACUGUGCAAACACGAAAGUGGACGUAUACGGUGUGACGCCUGCCCGGUGCUGGAAGGUUAAUUGAUGGGGUCAGCCGCAAGGCGAAGCUCUUGAUCGAAGCCCCAGUAAACGGCGGCCGUAACUAUAACGGUCCUAAGGUAGCGAAAUUCCUUGUCGGGUAAGUUCCGACCUGCACGAAUGGCGUAAUGAUGGCCAGGCUGUCUCCACCCGAGACUCAGUGAAAUUGAACUCGCUGUGAAGAUGCAGUGUACCCGCGGCAAGACGGAAAGACCCCGUGAACCUUUACUAUAGCUUGACACUGAACAUUGAGCCUUGAUGUGUAGGAUAGGUGGGAGGCUUUGAAGCGUGGACGCCAGUCUGCGUGGAGCCAUCCUUGAAAUACCACCCUUUAAUGUUUGAUGUUCUAACUCGGCCCCGUAAUCCGGGGUGAGGACAGUGUCUGGUGGGUAGUUUGACUGGGGCGGUCUCCUCCCAAAGAGUAACGGAGGAGCACGAAGGUUAGCUAAUCACGGUCGGACAUCGUGAGGUUAGUGCAAAGGCAUAAGCUAGCUUGACUGCGAGAGUGACGGCUCGAGCAGGUACGAAAGUAGGUCUUAGUGAUCCGGUGGUUCUGAAUGGAAGGGCCAUCGCUCAACGGAUAAAAGGUACUCUGGGGAUAACAGGCUGAUACCGCCCAAGAGUUCAUAUCGACGGCGGUGUUUGGCACCUCGAUGUCGGCUCAUCACAUCCUGGGGCUGAAGUAGGUCCCAAGGGUAUGGCUGUUCGCCAUUUAAAGUGGUACGCGAGCUGGGUUUAGAACGUCGUGAGACAGUUCGGUCCCUAUCUGCCGUGGGCGUUGGAAGAUUGAGAGGGGUUGCUCCUAGUACGAGAGGACCGGAGUGAACGCACCACUGGUGUUCGGGUUGUCAUGCCAAUGGCAUUGCCCGGUAGCUAAGUGCGGAAAAGAUAAGCGCUGAAAGCAUCUAAGCGCGAAACUUGCCUCAAGAUGAGUCUUCCCUGGACCUUUAAGGUCCCUGAAGGAACGUUUAAGACUAAGACGUUGA